CAGCGAGUAAGUCCUAUUCGAACCAAUGAUGCCUGCAUUAGUGGGAUGGGAGAACUAGGGUAGGGGUCGCUU
Molecule: non-coding RNA, 72 nt
Filed under: unclassified sequences
Description: DUF3800-X RNA
Rfam family: DUF3800-X RNA
Source: Rfam by way of RNAcentral